This 485-nucleotide small RNA is filed under the name Arabidopsis thaliana (thale cress). Its description in RNAcentral is "putative long intergenic non-coding RNA". Lineage: Eukaryota; Viridiplantae; Streptophyta; Magnoliopsida; Brassicales; Brassicaceae. The record is from RNAcentral.
CAUCAUCGUCUUCCCUAACUCUCGACGAAGUGAUAGCCGUCUGACAGGAAAUCAGAUGACAAACGGUUAGGACUGAGUGUGUUGGUUAUCUCCGACGAUCCACACUGCCGCUCGUUGGUUAUGGAAAUAAGCUACGGAAGCGGCCGGAGCUCCAGUCAUCUUCAUAGUCUCUAUGUCUCGUAAACCAGCGCCGUCACAAAUAUAUCACACAACUCUCUGAUUUGUUUUUCCGGCCAACUUCUGAUUUUAAUAUUUUUGUUUCGAUUUUAUAUUUAUAUUGCUAUUAUUAUUAUCAUCGUUUUGUGGCCAACUUCUGAUUUUAAUAUUUUUGUUUCGAUUUUAUAUUUAUAUUGCUAUUAUUAUUGUCAUGGUUUUGUGUCGUCGGAAAAACAGAAGAAAGAAGGAAGAAGAUAAAGAAAGUAAAAGGGUAAAAGAGUCUAAAAGAUGGUGAUGUUGCAUUUGUACAGUGACCAACAGUGACGUUA